AAAGUGUGUGCAAUUAAUAGUGUGUUACCUUCACUGCUGUGGCAGACCCAAGACUGUUCUGGACUCUGGACUCCAUAAGGCAUGAAAUCAUGACUCACAAAUGGCUCCCGAAUCUGCUGUUCCAGAAAACAGCAGGCGAAGAAAAGCUGCAGAGUCUGUCAAGAG
Nothoprocta perdicaria is the source of this 165-nucleotide long non-coding RNA. RefSeq lists it as uncharacterized. The record is from RefSeq and is a predicted model, not a curated record. The transcript is spliced from 2 exons. NCBI's taxonomy places the organism in Eukaryota, Metazoa, Chordata, Aves, Tinamiformes, Tinamidae.